CGAGAUAUUGCUCAAUGGUAGAGCACUUGCCUAGCAUGUGUGAGACCCUGGGUUCAAUUCCCAGUACUGCAA
Molecule: transfer RNA, 72 nt
Filed under: Ictidomys tridecemlineatus (thirteen-lined ground squirrel)
Lineage: Eukaryota; Metazoa; Chordata; Mammalia; Rodentia; Sciuridae
Description: Spermophilus tridecemlineatus (thirteen-lined ground squirrel) tRNA
Rfam family: tRNA
About the family: Transfer RNA (tRNA) molecules are approximately 80 nucleotides in length. Their secondary structure includes four short double-helical elements and three loops (D, anti-codon, and T loops). Further hydrogen bonds mediate the characteristic L-shaped molecular structure. tRNAs have two regions of fundamental functional importance: the anti-codon, which is responsible for specific mRNA codon recognition, and the 3' end, to which the tRNAs corresponding amino acid is attached (by aminoacyl-tRNA synthetases). tRNAs cope with the degeneracy of the genetic code in two manners: having more than one tRNA (with a specific anti-codon) for a particular amino acid; and 'wobble' base-pairing, i.e. permitting non-standard base-pairing at the 3rd anti-codon position.
Source: Rfam by way of RNAcentral